Molecule: ribosomal RNA, 472 nt
Filed under: Candidatus Woesearchaeota archaeon
Lineage: Archaea; Nanobdellati; Candidatus Woesearchaeota
Description: bacterial SSU rRNA
Rfam family: Archaeal small subunit ribosomal RNA
Source: RNAcentral
GUUCCUGUUGAUCCUGCAGGAGACUGCUGCUAUCGGAGUUCGAGUAAAACAUGCAAGUCGGAGGAUUCCGCAAGGAGUCCAGGCGAACUGCUCAGUAGCACGUCAAUAAUCUGUCCUUAGGUCUGGGAUAACUUCGGGAAACUGAAGCUAAAACCGGAUAGGCAAGAAAAGUUGGAAUACUUUUUUGUUUAAAAGUAAUGCCUAAGGGUGAGUUGGCGGCCGAUUAGGUUGUUGGCGGUGUAAAGGACCACCAAGCCGAUAAUCGGUGGGGGCCUUGAGAGAGGUAGCCUCGAGAAGGGUACUGAGACACUGACCCUAGCCCUACGGGGUGCAGCAGUUGCGAAAACUUUGCAAUGCGCGCAAGCGUGACAAGGGAACUCUGAGUGCUCAGGCACUGCUUGGGCUUUUGCCAAGAGUAAAUAUCUUGGCGAAUAAGUGGUGGGUAAGACGGGUGCCAGCCGCCGCGGUAACA